CUGACUGCUGUGGAGGAAGGAGGUGUGCUGCAUGCUCCUUUGGAAAGUCUGCCUGCACUCCGGAUGUGGAGGCCAGCCAGACGGUGAUGACCCAGGACCCCCAGGCUUGGGAAACCACAGAGUGAGGAGAAACUGAGAACUCUGAGAUGGCAAGCCCCAGAGAAACAGCGUAAUCUUGCAUGCGAUCCUACCUUCACCAGCAGAAGGGAACUAUCAAUCAGAUUAUACAUCUGAACACUAGGAGGUCUUGGCGCAGUGGCGGAGCCGAGAAGUAGACUGGUUAUUGAGGUCUGAAGUACUUCCUCAAAGGUGCUGGGGCAUAGAGGCCCAGGGACUUGAGAGUGGCCUUAGAAUCAGUCAGGCCAUGGAAUUUUGUGUCCAUCUGUUCUGAGAAGAGAGAAGUUCCCUCAAAUGGAAGGUUCUGAAUGGACUGCUGAACCUCUGUGGAAGGCCCGAAGAUUGGAGCCAAGAGCACCUUUGCAUGAAUACUGCCGAUGCCGUAGUUCUAGUAGCUGUGUCAGUUGUAUCCAGGGCAGACUGGAGGGAGGUCUUGGCUAUAGUUUUUUAUUCUUCCACCUGAGCAGAGAAUUCCUGUCUGGACUUCUGAGAGCCGCGACUCCUUGAAUAUAGACACAAGGUCUCAGAUGUUAUAAUCAUACUGCCCAAGCAAGGCCUGCUGGUUGGUGAUGUGGAGCUGUAAUCCACCAGUAGAAUACAUUUUUCUAGCAAAUAGGUCCAGCUUCUUUGAGUCCAUCACCUUGGGGGUCACACCCUGCAGCCUUUGCUUGUCUCUUUUGUGGGUUGCUGCAUCCACAAGUAACCCGGGAGGGGGAUGGGAAUAAAGGUAUUCAUACCCAUUGUUGAGGACAAAGUACUUUUUCUCUGCUCUUUUUGAAGUGGGGGGCAGGGAGGACAGAAUCUGCUAUAGGGAUCUGACUGGACCCAUAACAACCUGGUUGAGGGGUAGGGCCACCUUUGAGAGGGCUGCCGAGGCCAAGAUGUCAAUCAGGCUGUGGGAGGAUUUUUUAAGCAUCUUCACUUCCAGCUGUAGGUUAGAACCUAUCCUUUUCGGUAGCUCCUGGUGAGCUGUAAGGUCAUCCUGAGGCGCCGAGCCACUCAACACAGCCUCGUCUGGGGAUGAAGAGGAAGCCUGAACCAGCAGGAGAGCUUCCUCCUUUUCUUCUGCACCAACCAUAACAUGUAGCCCCAAAUCCUGAGUAUCGGUACUGUGUUUGGUACUAGAGUCCAGGUCGGGUGCCAGAUGGUGCAGCGGAGAGGGCCUUCUCUUGGACCCCACCGAGUAUGAACAGCUGGAAGAUGUCCCAGUACUUGGGGAAAACCCCACGGAUUCCAAAAAGACCACUGGACCAAGUACUUUGAGGGGCACCUGCACCGGGAUCCAAAAGAACAUAGGCCAGGUACUGGUAUCGGUCCCUUGGCUGGGUGCAUGGCUCCACCUCCAACUCCAAUGACAAGUCGGCUUGCGGGGAUCAUGGUUGGAGAUACCCCUUGCUUCCACUGGCCGAUGCCGAAGGUCUGGGGAAUGGUGCCAGAGAGGGGAAGCCUUCGCCGACAUCAGUAGAGUCUGUUUCCCUCUGGUCAGUACCCAGUCAGAGGGCCCAGUGUGAUGGGAUGGCCACAGAGGACAGCAGCCAUGUGGCAGGAGGGCCAUAGGAGCAGGGUGGGGAGGGGAGAAGACAACGCUGCAUUUGUUAUACUUGGUGCUCAUUUUCAAGUUUUCUUUGCAACCAGAAAUACAGAAGCAAAUCUUUUUAAAAUGAAAUCUCCAAUUCUGAAGCAUCCAUUCAACAACAAAUCGUUGCCAAUAAUGAUCAGUGUGUUGUAGAUAGAAAUAGUUAUAAUAAAUAUUGCCAGGAAAUAAAAAAUGAUCACAUUAACAAAAUAAAAAGUAGCCUAUCUUUUAGAUGCUAGACUCUACACAUGAAUCAAUUUGCCAGAAAGAUUAAAAAAAGUUUCAAAGGGUGCAUUUGAAUUACAAUUCAAGCUAAUUAACAGGUUUACUUCUAAAUUCUUUGAAAAUUAAUUCUGUACUCAGUAUAAGUGCUGUAAGUUAGGUGAGAAUACAGAUACACUACAUUAAACAUAAAAAUAAUCUUUAAGUGCAAAACUCUUGCUACUGUUUCUCCAAAACUAUUAUUUUUUAUAAAACAGCCUUAGAAAUACCAAAGCACACAACUCUCUUUAUUUAAAUAAACUCUAAACCCCAAAAAGCAAAACAGAAGUUAAGUGGUGGACAAGGACAGGAAGUUGUAAGCUGACCGAAAAUGAAAAGCAGUGAAUCUUUGAGGAAGUACCCAAAGAAUUACUAACAUAUUAGAAAAGUAAAUAGGCUGCUUUGGGGAAAACAAAGCAAGCAAACAACCAAACAAAACCCGGUUUGGUUUGAGUACUGACAAAUAGGUUCCAAAAGAGAGUUCUAAAUCCCACAUUAUUUGUAGUAUUCAGAACUUUUACUGGCAAACAUUAAAACACUAGGGAUCAUAAUCUCUGCUAGUGUAAAUUGUCAUAGGCCUGAUGACAUCAGUGGGCCUAUGACAAUUUACACCAAGUGCGUACCUCAGGGUGAUCUGCCCCUCUGUAGCCUAUCCAAUGGUUUAGGUUAAGAAAUAAGCUGAAAUUAGCUUUUGGGCCUAAGUGUAGAGGAGUAUGGGAAAUUGAAUUUGCUAGUGUGAGAAAGUUAAAGAUAAGUUAGACACAGAAUGUAAUGGGAAAGUAAGAGUUAGCAAGGACGUGACCCAGGGUUAUUUUACUCAUUGCAUUUAGGCUAUAACUGGUUUAAAGCAAGGUUUUAAUGAAUGUUUUUAAGAAUUGUGAAUGUUUAUUAAAAUGCUAUCUAUAUUGAUAAUAUGGGACGAUGUUAUUUUAAAUACUGUGUAAGGUACGAGCCAAUAAGAAGGUGGUAGAAAUACAAUUAUGGGAAAGAUCAGUUUAAUGUUAAUUAAUAUUAUCAAUUGCUUAUAAAAGGAGUAGUUUUGCUAAAUUGCCAGUGAACUCCAAUUAAUAUCAAAGGGUACUAUUAGGUUCUAAGAUUAUAAGGCUGUACUUCAUUUGGUGUCAGUGGACUGAUCUUUGAGCAUAAGUGUGAUUGUAGUACCGUGUAAGUAGCAACUGCAUGACUUUAAUAGUUUGGUUGUAUCAUUCGAAGUGUCA
Molecule: long non-coding RNA, 3171 nt
Organism: Chelonia mydas (Green sea turtle)
Lineage: Eukaryota; Metazoa; Chordata; Testudines; Cheloniidae
Exons: 3
Source: RefSeq, a predicted model, not a curated record